Molecule: long non-coding RNA, 414 nt
Organism: Folsomia candida
Lineage: Eukaryota; Metazoa; Arthropoda; Collembola; Entomobryomorpha; Isotomidae
Exons: 3
Source: RefSeq, a predicted model, not a curated record
GGAAGCUCAGAGCAACAGCUUUGCCUUGAUUCUCACGGAACUGGAAAAUUGAGCACCAAUUAUUCUCAAUCUCUGCACUGGGAGUGUCACGGACUUGGAGGAAACCAGCUUUGGUACUACACAGUCCUCGGAGAAAUACGCGACGAACAAAACUGCUUGGACUUCUUCGGAGGAGAACGCGUCAUUUUGUAUCCGUGUCAUAAAUCCGGUGGAAAUCAAGAGUGGGAAUAUCACGGAGAGACUGGAAUAAUUGUCCACACAAAGUCAAGACGCUGCUUGACUCUGGAUGGAGCAGUUGGAAAUCUGGCAGUUACGGCUUGUCAGGGGAGACUGGAGCAAAAGUGGAAAUUUGAAGUAGACAAUAUUUAUGACACUUUGAACAACUUUCGAUUUUCACAAUAACCCAUCAAAGCA